GGCCCACCAGCUAGCUCAAACCCUUUGAAUGUAACAAUUAACCAUUAAUUAACCUCUGAUAGCUUAACACAUUACUGAGCCAAACCAUUCUACCACCUAAGUAUGGGAGACAGAAAAGGACCUAUUGAAGCGACAGCACCAGUACCGCAAGGGAACGCUGAAAUAGAAAUGAAAUAAGUCAGUAAAGCAUAACGAAGCAGAGAUUUCCUCUCGUACCUUUUGCAUCAUGAUUUAGCAAGAAAUUAUCAAGCAAAGAGCACUUUAGUUUGAUUCCCCGAAACCAAUGUGAGCUACUCCAAGACAGCCUUAUGGGCGCACCCGUCUCUGUGGCAAAAGAGUGGGAAGAGCUUUGAGUAGAGGUGACAGACCUACCGAACUUGGUUAUAGCUGGUUGUCCAGGAACUGAAUAGAAGUUCAGCCUCUUGUCCUCUUAUUCCCUGAAUCUGAGUACACCCGAAGCACCAAAGAGGGCUAGAGAGUUAGUCAAAGGGGGCACAGCCCCUUUGAAAGAGAUACAACUUUCCCUAGAAGGGUUAAGAUCAAAAUACCCCAAGGAGCCGGCGUCUAAGUUGGCUUGAAAGCAGCCAUCAAUAAAGAAAGCGUUAAAGCUCGUGCGCCUCACCCCUCCCAUUAUCCCGACCAUAUAAUCUUACCCCCCUAAACAUACUGGACCCCUCCAUUCCUUUAUGGAAGAGACUAUGCUAAUAUGAGUAAUAAGAGAUUAAGCAUCUCUCCCCGCACGAGUGUACAUCGGAACGAACCAACACCGAAACUUAACGUACCCAAUGAAAGAGGGCAAUUGAAUACACCAACUAACCACAAGAAAAACAUCAACCCCCACCCCGUUAAUCUUACACCAGAGUGCACCCAGGGAAAGACUAAAAGAAAAAGAAGGAACUCGGCA
This 904-nucleotide ribosomal RNA is filed under the name Ostorhinchus ishigakiensis. Its description in RNAcentral is "partial 16S rRNA". The stretch from base 195 to 904 matches the Rfam family "Bacterial large subunit ribosomal RNA", at positions 568 to 1719 of the family's 2925-position model. Lineage: Eukaryota; Metazoa; Chordata; Actinopteri; Kurtiformes; Apogonidae. The record is from RNAcentral.